Molecule: transfer RNA, 70 nt
Filed under: Papilio machaon (common yellow swallowtail)
Lineage: Eukaryota; Metazoa; Arthropoda; Insecta; Lepidoptera; Papilionidae
Rfam family: tRNA
About the family: Transfer RNA (tRNA) molecules are approximately 80 nucleotides in length. Their secondary structure includes four short double-helical elements and three loops (D, anti-codon, and T loops). Further hydrogen bonds mediate the characteristic L-shaped molecular structure. tRNAs have two regions of fundamental functional importance: the anti-codon, which is responsible for specific mRNA codon recognition, and the 3' end, to which the tRNAs corresponding amino acid is attached (by aminoacyl-tRNA synthetases). tRNAs cope with the degeneracy of the genetic code in two manners: having more than one tRNA (with a specific anti-codon) for a particular amino acid; and 'wobble' base-pairing, i.e. permitting non-standard base-pairing at the 3rd anti-codon position.
Source: Rfam by way of RNAcentral
UCCUCGGUAGUAUAGUGGUAAGUAUCCCCGCCUGUCACGCGGGAGACCGGGUUCGAUUCCCGCCGGGAGA